GAUGAAGAACGCAGCGAAAUGCGAUAAGUAAUGUGAAUUGCAGAAUUCAGUGAAUCAUCGAAUCUUUGAAUGCACAUUGCGCCCGCCAGUAUUCUGGCGGGCAUGCCUGUUCGAGCGUCAUUUCAACCAUCAAGCCCUGCUUGCGUUGGGGUCCUGCGGCUGCCCGCAGGCCCUGAAAACCAGUGGCGGGCUCGCUAGUCACACCGAGCGCAGUAAUACAUCUCGCUUUGGGCGUGCGGCGGGUUCUUGCCGUUAAACACCCCCUUUUUACCAAGGUUGACCUCGGAUCAGGUAGGAAUACCCGCUGAACUUAAGCAUAUCAAUAAGCGGAGGA
This 334-nucleotide unclassified non-coding RNA is filed under the name soil metagenome. Its description in RNAcentral is "partial contains 5.8S ribosomal RNA, internal transcribed spacer 2, and large subunit ribosomal RNA". The stretch from base 1 to 120 matches the Rfam family "5.8S ribosomal RNA", at positions 35 to 154 of the family's 154-position model. The record is from RNAcentral.